GGUGACUUUUUCUUCUGGGUACCGCACUCAAAAAUUUGCCAGAGUAUAUAAUUGUGUUGAUUUAGCAAAAGAUGGAGAAGGUGAAAUGAAGAAAUAGAAUAAAAUAGCAGUAAGCAACAAAGCAUACACUCCACUAAUGGGUAACAUAUCAAUUGGAAAUGACUUACGUAUUCGAAUCAAUGCCUCUUCAUUCAGAUGUGAAAAUGGAAGAAUGGGUUCAGCUGAAAGAAACCCCAAACCCAGAAAAUGCAAAAGGGAAAAUGGAAAUUACUCCUAUAUGGCUA
RNAcentral lists this long non-coding RNA (284 nucleotides) under Panax ginseng (ginseng). RNAcentral's name for it is "long non-coding RNA (PGIN_LNC000280)". Lineage: Eukaryota; Viridiplantae; Streptophyta; Magnoliopsida; Apiales; Araliaceae. The record is from RNAcentral.